Molecule: microRNA, 23 nt
Filed under: Ascaris suum (pig roundworm)
Lineage: Eukaryota; Metazoa; Nematoda; Chromadorea; Rhabditida; Ascarididae
Description: asu-miR-36e-5p
Gene: asu-miR-36e-5p
Source: miRBase by way of RNAcentral
CGGGGAUUCUACUCUUGGUGAAG